AGGCGCGCACCCACUCGCACCAUCCAGGUCUCAGACGAAAAGUAACAACUGACCUCAAAAGCCUCCUUCCCUCAAGGAAGACCGUGACCUGUGUGUUUCCGCCCCUUUAACACUCGCAGAGACUAACAUUGCAGACGUCGAAAGUAAACCCAGGCUCCUUGGAGGGGCGCGGGCAAGACCAUCGCUAUCUCAGCACCGAGCGCAGCGGUACCGCAAACACCCGGCCUCCCUCGGAGCGGACGCUCUCCAGCUUCCGCCACUUUAUCUUUUUUCCCAGCACGAAUUUACCUCCGCCACUUUGUGUGUCCCUUCUCCCCACGACCCCGGGCCUCCUGCAGCCCAGGUCUGGGACCUCAGGGUUCGCGGACACCUUUCCCCGUUCCGCGUCCAGCCCCGCAGAGAGGAGCGGAGCGUGGAUGAAAACAAGGUAAUUUCCCGGUGCCUUCGGGCACGGUGGAUGCAAAAGGGGCCCUGGCCGCGUCCCUGUAACCGCUGUCACCCCCACCCCGCCAGGGCUGGUCCUCCCAGCCCCCCUUCCCUGCCUCGGGCGUCGCGUCCUCCUUUGCCCCUGGCAUCUCCAUCCCGCAGUGCCUCCCACCCGCACGCCGGUCGGAGCCCUGGGCCCGGCCGCCGCCCCCAACGCGCCCCGGCAGACUCACCUUGCAGCCCCGCAGACUUUCAAGUUCUCCUACCUUCGCUGAGUGGGCUACGACAUAUCCCCAAAGGAGGCCUUCCCCGCGAGCCCAGGAGGGGCGGAGCGGAGCAGAGCAGGGCGGAGCUUGCGGCCCUGCCGGGCUCGCGCCCAACACAGGCCUCCGCCGCGCUCCCAGCGGCCGAGCAGCGGGCCAGGUUGCCAAGAGCAAAGGUGAGGUGACGGGGACCGCUGCGUGGAGAAAACGGGUGGCGCGUGGAGGCCCGCAGGGGCGCUGGCGGGAAGUGUCGCGAGAGGUGGAGGGAAUCGCGCGAGAUGUGCUCUUCCGAGCGGGCUGGCGGUCGGAGCGCUGGGCACGCGGGUGUUGCCGGCGGCGCGCCCUCCGCUUGGUACCCGCGCGCGGGGUCUGGGUGCAAGGCCUCAGGUAUUUAGAAGGCAGGGAUGAGGAAUGAGACGUUUUAGGUGGAGAGCGUUUCAAAUUGCAGUGAAAGCAAGGUUCUUCAGGAUGACCCAGCCUCCCCACUUAAUAGAUGGGAAAACAGACCUCUGACCCGGUGGUACCCUGGCUAACCCUGCUCAUGGGCCGGGAUGGUGCAGGGACGCCGGGAUGCCAUGCCCUUAGUGAAAAGUAGGACAGGCGCUGGCGGUAGUUGCGUCUACCCAGACCUCCACUUCUGGGUGCUGAGAACGGAUACCAUUGGCAUUUGCAAGGGAACAAAAGAUCGUCUCUGGGUCUUUGCCCCUCUCCUUUGCGUUUAUUGGGAUUUAGAAGCUGCCAAAAAGAUGUCUUUAAAAGAUGUAGAGGUGGGCUUGGCAGGAUUCAAAAGCCGCAAGAGGGUUGGAGAUGAGAUAUUUUUGUCCAGCAAGAUGACAUAACAGAGGUCAACAGGUUAAAAGAAUUCCCCAAGUAGUAGCCCUGCCAGCUCUCCUGUUUAGUUUUCUGGGAGACUUCAAUUCCUUCGGGCAUGCAAUAAAAUACUUCCCUAUUUUCUAACUAGAUUAUAGGGCAAGGGUUCAGGGAAUGUUUUUCAGUCUUGUUAUUUCUUCAAAAGCUGAGAAAAAGGAAACUAAAAGGGAUUUUUUAAUAACAGAUUAAUUCUCUUACAGUUUAAGAGCCACACACAAUUAUCCACAAGUUUACUUAUACCUUCUUCUCAAAUUUAUAACACCUGAAUAGCUUCUGUUCUUUGCAGAUGAAAUGGAGCAGGACCCCACGGUCCCUGCCCCUCACCCCAUGUCCUCAGCCCGCCUUUUGUCUGUGGAAAAACUUUAGCCAAAGAAUAAGUUUAAUCAGAGAAGUGAGAAAAUGCAGAAACAAAGGAAAACAGUCAAAGGAGACCAAAUAAUAGUUUAGUCAUUAAGCAUAGUCAAGGACCUUCAGUCCCUCAAGGGCUAUAGAUAAUAUUCUAAGCCGUAUCCUGUGAGCUGUCUUACAGAUACUGAAAUCCCCACCAGGUGGAAGAAGUUAACUACAUGAUGACCAGACUGUAGCCAUGACAUAAGCUGCCACAAUUCCAAGAACUGGCCUCAAAGAAAUGGAAACCCUGGAACUAAAGAUUAACUGUUCUUAAAACAACCAAGAUGACGCUGACCAGACCACCGCAUUACUGGUUUCACGAUGACUGUCCGAACUGACUGUGCUGUUCUGCUCCUGCCUAUGCAACCCUGAAACUCCCCUUUAAAAGCCCCUGUCCCCUGAGAGCAGUCGGGAGUUGGUUCUUGGACAGGAGUCCACCCCCUCCCCCAGUUGCCAGCCUCCAAAAUAAAGCAACCUUUCCCUUCCUACCAACACUCAUCUCUCGAGAAUUGGCUUUCCAGCGGCAAGCAGCCGGACCUGGGUUCGGUAACACAGAGAGGAUGAAGAAAGCCAGGACUGUGCCCCAGCCUCUAGGAUCCUGUCAGAUGACUAGCUAAUAUAACUAAUACCAGUAGCUAGCUUUUAACUCUAUGUUGUAGGUAACAACUGUAAGCAUUUGACAAGUAUAAUCCCAUUUAAUUCUCACAGCAACCUGGUGAAGUAGGUUAUCCCUAUUUGCAGAGGUAGAAUGACUCACAUACUACCAGCAAGUGAUGGAGCCAAUGUAAACACAAGAGCACAGGCUCCGGACGCGCAGGCUCAGCGGCCAUGGCUCACUGGGCCCAGCCGCUCCGCGGCAUGUGGGAUCUUCCCGGACCAGGGCACGAACCCGUAUCCCCUGCAUCGGCAUGUGGACUCUCAACCACUGCGCCACCAGGGAAGCCCAAGAAGGAAUCUUUUAAUGGCCUUUUCAGAUAAUUGUGGAGUAUUCUUUUUACUACUACAAUAAAAUUCAACAAAUGGUCCUGAAAACGCUUCAGAGAAAGUGACUUUUGGAUCCCACCGAAGGAGGGUGGCUGCUUGCCAGGAGAGCCAACCAUGUGGUUAGAGGGUGGGACCUUUCAGUCCCAACGCCCAACCUCUAGGGAGGGCAAAGCGGCUGGAGAUUGAAUCCGUUGCCGACGGCCCAGUGACUGAGUCAUGCCUUUGUAAUGAAGCCUCACUAAAAAUCCAAAGGACAAGGUUCAGAGAGCUUCCAGGUUGGGGAACAUGUGAGGAUUGGGGAGAGUGGUGCACCUGGAGAGGGAACGGAAGGUCUGCACCCCCCCCAGGCCAUGCCCUAUGUAUCUCUAUCAUUCAUCUGGCUGUGGUUUUAUAUCCUUUUGUAAUAAACAGGUAAUCUAGUAAAUAAAUGGGUUUUCCUCAGUUCUGUGAGCCGUGCUAGCAAGUUAACUGAAGCCAAGGAGGAAGUCAUGGGAACAUCUGGCCUAUAAGAAUUGCUUGUUGGUGUGUGGAGGCCUCUACACACACACUGGAAUUGGGUCCAGGAACGCUUUUCCCCAGUGUACUUCAGCCCGCAGAAUUGCUUCCU
Long non-coding RNA from Globicephala melas (long-finned pilot whale), 3540 nucleotides. RefSeq lists it as uncharacterized. The record is from RefSeq and is a predicted model, not a curated record. Lineage: Eukaryota; Metazoa; Chordata; Mammalia; Artiodactyla; Delphinidae.